Long non-coding RNA from Mustela erminea (ermine), 1089 nucleotides. RefSeq lists it as uncharacterized. NCBI's taxonomy places the organism in Eukaryota, Metazoa, Chordata, Mammalia, Carnivora, Mustelidae. The record is from RefSeq and is a predicted model, not a curated record. The transcript has 3 exons.
GGAGCCCCGCCCCUCAGUGGCGUCACAACCCCGUGACGUCCCCCGCGUGACCUCACCGCGGUGGAGCGACGGGGUGGGCAGUGGGAAGAAGGGAAGGGACCGCCCCGUGGUUGGGGGUGACUCCUGGCCUGACCUUCUCCUCGCCCCGCCCCCACACUCAAGGGGAGGAGUUAAAGCUCGGCGUCUGGGGAGAGGCUCCGGGAACUCCGUUUACAGCAACUCCACCAUUUUGCAGUAGGAUCAAGUCUCUGGAAAGUAAAGGAGGCCUGGAUACGAACAUCAAUCCCAGAUCCAGACAGCAACACACAAAGAAAAAUAUUGCUGUGCAUUGUGAUAUACCUGCCUGGUCAAGGCCCUGUUCCAAGAUCAAAGAAUGAGAAACGCAGCAAAGAGACCAUCUUGUCUACCCCCUUGCAUUCCUAUUUGCUCAACACCGCUACAUCUAAAAGGGCAAAAGAUGAGUAAGAUAUGUCCUUCUCUCUUCAAGUAGCUCUCUGUUUUACAAGUAAGUAAAGUGAGAUCCAAAAAGCUUUGAUGUCUUGUCCAAAAAUAUAGAACAGUAAAACUUGAACCCACCUUUCAGAUCCCUAAUGGGCUUUGUUUUGCGUAACAAUUUCAACAGGAGACAGCACUAGAGUAACUGUCUGGGUUGCAAGGAGGUUUUAGAAAGAGAAAGCAUUUUGCCUCCUGUCCCAGUACCAAACAAGACUUAGUAAAAUAGAAUGGCUUUAAAAGCCUGGGUUCUGGGUCACUCACAUUUAGGAUUCAAAUUCUCAUUCUGGCCAAUUAUUGAUAAUCACAGUGCCUACCUGGAUAGGAUUGCUGUGAGAGUUAAAUGAGAUAAAAUAUGUGAGCUCAGUACAGUGCCUACUCCAUAAAAAACACUUCAAGAAAUAACUACCAUGGCCACAAACACAAGAUGACUAUGGGAUUAGACAAUGGUACUAGUAGCCCAGGCCACUUCUUCACCUGGUUCCCCUUCUUCUUCAUUUCCCUUCCUGGUCCUCUAUUAAAAUAUUAAAUAUGUACACUUUCUCUUCUCCAGUGAUUUUUUUCCCCCUCCAAUAUGAUUAUCUUAGGGGAGACAAC